UAUGAAACACCUUCCCUAGUACGAAAGGACCGGGAAAGUGGGGCCAAUAUCACAAACACGCCCUCCCUCCAAAUAGUGACCUCAACUCAACUAUCAAGAGACUACUACACCACCAAACCACCCUAGAAAAGGGUUA
Molecule: ribosomal RNA, 136 nt
Filed under: Chauna torquata (southern screamer)
Lineage: Eukaryota; Metazoa; Chordata; Aves; Anseriformes; Anhimidae
Description: partial 16S ribosomal RNA
Source: RNAcentral